RNAcentral lists this ribosomal RNA (440 nucleotides) under uncultured bacterium. RNAcentral describes it as "partial 16S ribosomal RNA". It matches the Rfam family "Bacterial small subunit ribosomal RNA", at positions 338 to 795 of the family's 1533-position model. The record is from RNAcentral.
CCUACGGGUGGCAGCAGUGGGGAAUAUUGCACAAUGGGGGAAACCCUGAUGCAGCGACGCCGCGUGAGUGAAGAAGGAUUUCGGUAUGUAAAGCUCUGUCAGCAGGGAAGAAAAUGACGGUACCUGAUUAAGAAGCGCCGGCUAACUACGUGCCAGCAGCCGCGGUAAUACGUAGGGGGAAAGCGUUAGCCGGAUUUAAUGGGUGUAAAGGGAGCGGAGACGGGAGCACAAGGCUGGGGGGAAAUGCCGGGGCUUAACCCCGGAACUGCUUUGGAAACUGGGCAGCUAGAGUGCAGGAGAGGUAAGUGGAAUUCCUAGUGUAGCGGUGAAAUGCGUAGAUAUUAGGAGGAACACCAGUGGCGAAGGCGGCUUACUGGACUGUAACUGACGUUGAGGCUCGAAAGCGUGGGGAGCAAACAGGAUUAGAUACCCGAGUAGUC